GACGAACGCUGGCGGCGUGCUUAACACAUGCAAGUCGAACGAAGAGCGAUGGAAGCUUGCUUCUAUCAAUCUUAGUGGCGAACGGGUGAGUAACGCGUAAUCAACCUGCCCUUCAGAGGGGGACAACAGUUGGAAACGACUGCUAAUACCGCAUACGAUCUAAACUCGGCAUCGAGGAUAGAUGAAAGGUGGCCUCUACAUGUAAGCUAUCACUGUAGGAGGGGAUUGCGUCUGAUUAGCGAGUUGGAGGGGUAACGGCCCACCAAGGCGAUGAUCAGUAGCCGGUCUGAGAGGAGGAACGGCCACAUUGGGACUGAGACACGGCCCAGACUCCUACGGGAGGCAGCAGUGGGGAAUCUUCCGCAAUGGACGAAAGUCUGACGGAGCAACGCCGCGUGAGUGAUGACGGCCUUCGGGUUGUAAAGCUCUGUUAAUCGGGACGAAAGGCCUUCUUGCGAAUAGUGAGAAGGAUUGACGGUACCGGAAUAGAAAGCCACGGCUAACUACGUG
RNAcentral lists this ribosomal RNA (510 nucleotides) under uncultured bacterium. Its description in RNAcentral is "partial 16S ribosomal RNA". It matches the Rfam family "Bacterial small subunit ribosomal RNA", at positions 28 to 507 of the family's 1533-position model. The record is from RNAcentral.